Molecule: transfer RNA, 73 nt
Filed under: Ophiophagus hannah (king cobra)
Lineage: Eukaryota; Metazoa; Chordata; Lepidosauria; Squamata; Elapidae
Rfam family: tRNA
About the family: Transfer RNA (tRNA) molecules are approximately 80 nucleotides in length. Their secondary structure includes four short double-helical elements and three loops (D, anti-codon, and T loops).
Source: Rfam by way of RNAcentral
GCCAGUUUGGUCUAGUGGUUAAGACAUCAGGCUAGAAACCUGGAGACCAUGAGUUCUAACCCCACUUUAGGCA